Molecule: long non-coding RNA, 2133 nt
Organism: Paramisgurnus dabryanus
Lineage: Eukaryota; Metazoa; Chordata; Actinopteri; Cypriniformes; Cobitidae
Source: RefSeq, a predicted model, not a curated record
UUCCAUAUAGAGCCCUUGGAGGGCAAAGAACCCAUUUUAUUAAAAUGGUUCUAUAAUUCACGUUUGUGACUGAAGUGUAAACUAAAGAUUACACAAUAAUUACAGACCUACAGAACUCAUUUACAAACCUUACACAACUCAUUCACAAACCUUUUUGUGUCAAUAGGCUGUGGUCAAAUAAAGAGAGAGUCAACAAAUAGGCUAUUCAUAUUUAUUGUAUGAUUUAUUUCCUGUGAGCUUUUUUAUGCAAGUUUGUACAUUAGCAUGAAACUUACAGUGCAGUUUGCGUUUUUGGUGAAUAACCAGGUGUUUUCUUUAUUUUGUACAUUCUAUAUUGUCAAUGUUUAAUUUAACCUGAAGGGGCAUUAAAAACAAAUAAUCGCAAAAGUGCCCUCUGGUGGCGUAUAUAUGCGUUGCACCAUAAGCGAAGAUGAGCCUCAAGACGUGACAGGUUUUUUUUUCAAACUGGAGUUCGGACUCCGGACCGGCAUUUCUGCUUGUUGGUACCCUGAGGUAAGUAAACUUUCUACAUUUUUGAAACGAUAUUACACUCUAAAAAACGUGAGCCAGUUGGGUUAUUUUGUUUGGUUGUUUUAUCAGUGUUGGGUAGUUAUAUGUUGGGUAAUUUUGAAGCAGAGCCAGCUUAAUAGAUACAUAGCUGUUUUUCAAUAUUACUUUCUCUAGUCCACAAAAUGUAUUUUAAACAUAAGUUCAGGCGAGAAUAUAUAUGUAUAAUGUUCAAAUUUGCAGUCGGUUUGUAAAGUGAACGCCAAUUUUAAAGUUUAAUUACACAAAGUCGGAAUGUUUCCGGCGUGACCACCGGGUGUCAGUGUUGUUCUUCCCCAGAGAGAACUCGUCCCUUCCCCCACACAGAUGCGUCAGCUGAACUUCUGCUCUCACUCACUGCAACGAUACCUGAAGCGGGAGUUUACUAUUCACCUCACGAUUCAUGAAUGGUUUUUCAUCGACUUAUCUUUGAUUUAUUUGAAGGAAAAGACCCUGAUGGAUAAAAGAUGGAUAUUUUUUCCUGGAGAAGCUAAAACAAUGUAACUUUGAGGUUCUGAUACCAGCUUUUACAACGUUAUUUACAGAGUUCACCAGACUUCUCUGUGGUAUUUCCUGACCAUGCCGAAAAGCUAUUUGAAACUUGGGCAUUGCAUUUUCCAGACAGAAUCCUGCAACUUCCCAGCCAAGAACCAGGAGCAUCAACAAAUCACCUCCAGAACCCCAUGAUGAUAUUCCAACUCCUGUCUACAAAAGUGGGAAGAAAAUCUUAAGUCUAUGUUGGGACCAACAUGGUUGCAUUCUUCUGAGAGGCUGAUGUGACAAAACCAUUCCCAUUUGUCCUUGGAUUGGAAGAUGGCGAUCUCUGCCAUCAAGCCUUCGUUGUUUUUGACAGACAGUCACUCCAGCAAUACACCCUCCUUGGUGAUGUUGACAUGUUUUGAACUUUUUUUUUAUGUUUUGGACAUUAAUUUUACUAAGCAGUGCACAUCAGUGUGGGUGUUUUUGAAGACUGUUGUUUACAAACUCCCAAGAACGGAAUCCCUUUCUAUAAGAAGUCUGUGAAGUUAUUUGUCAUGCUAAGGUGAUAACUCAUGUUGAUCAUAUAUUGACUGUUUGUGCAACUUUGUGUUGAUCUUAUGUGUUACAUUAACAAUUUCUUAUUACACGGUUCUCUAAAAUGCUAGAUUCUGAUUGGCCAGUCGUGACAUUCUACUACUGCUCAAAACUAAGGGGCUGGACACACCAAAACUUUUAAACGCGGCUGAAAACGCCUUGAGGACGCCAAAUGCCAGCUGUUUUUCAGCUGAGUGCCAGCUUUCUUCAGCUGAGCGCUUUGGUAGCUGUGAUACUUCAGCUGCGAGCCGGUUGGUUGCUGUGGUUAAUGUCCCGCCCCUCCUCCACUGUGAUUGGGCGGCCGUGUGAGAACUGACAUUGACGAGCGGAGCUUUUCUCCCAAAGUUGAAUCUCUUUCAACUCUCGACGCUCAGCGCCGAGCGCGGAAAAACCGCCGAGCGCCGGUUUUCAGCGCGGAAAAAAACCGCUAGCUGCUGGCUUAUUUGAAAAACGCCGAGCUUCCAUUGGAAACAAUUGAAAACAUGCGCCGGCCGCGGGCGUAAAAGUUUUGGU